Molecule: long non-coding RNA, 1420 nt
Organism: Rosa rugosa (rugosa rose)
Lineage: Eukaryota; Viridiplantae; Streptophyta; Magnoliopsida; Rosales; Rosaceae
Exons: 6
Source: RefSeq, a predicted model, not a curated record
UCUCUCUCUCUCUCUCUCUGAGAGUUAACCAUGGACAGCAUCAGAUCUGGACUCUACGGUCAGAUCUUCCGUCCCGAUAACUUCGUCGUCGGUCAGUCUUGUGCUGGAACCAACUGGGCAACAGGUCAGUACACCGGUUGGGGGGAAGGGGGGGGGUUGAGUUUGAUCGAUUUGGUUCUCGAUGUGGUGUGAAAGGAGGCGGAGAACAAUUUACUGCUUGCAAGUAAGGAAAAGAUCGUCUCCCAUCACUUGUCAGCCGUUUUCAAUCUCACAAAAGAACUCGAAGCCGCCAUUGACGUGUUUCCAAGCUCUGCGUCGAGGUCCAAACGACGUUAUGGUCAAGCCAAGGAGGGAUUCUCGAGAAGAACGACCCUCCUAUUUGAAGCCUUCAACUUUGUUUCUUUUCUCUCUGGAUCUGACCCGUAGCCGCUUAAUCUCCAUGCCUCUACCGAUCGUUAGUUGAGGCAAAGAGGUUCUUGUGCUGGCCACACCUACCUAUGAUUUUGGCAGGAGUUUAGCUUGCAUGGAAGCCUCGGAUGACCGUCUCUCUGUCUUCUCUACUUAUCAUUUUCUCACCAAUUCCACCUUUGAGUUUUGAAAGCACAGGUUAGUGCAAUUCAUUUGAUAAUUGGGGCUCUCCAGAGGAUGCAUUUAUUUGGUGUUGAGAACAGAGAUACUUUAAUUCACAAUGCCAUGGGUAAUCCUAUUUUCAUUACUUUAUGAGCUUUCUGUUCUUUCUAUUACCCAACUUACUGCCUCGUAUUUGAGCAUUAUGUGCAUAAAACUAAUGGGAACAAUGAUAAAAAAUGAAACUAGAGAAUAGAAACCUGAUAACAACUCCAAAACUAUUUUGAAGUGUGAAAUAGCAAGAGUUUGGGAACAGAGAUAAUUUAACUCACAAUAUCACGGGUAAUCCUAUUUUCAUUACUUUAUGAGCUUUCUAUUCUUUCAUUAAUUAAUCAGUUAGCACAUUUACUCAUUAGUCAGUGCCUGCAUUUCAUAUUUGUCAGGUUGAGGAUGUUUAAGGCCAUGACACACCAAUACAAGGGCUUGCUGAUUCAAUAGCUGGACCUUUUGUAUACAGUAUAAUGACUGGGCUACAAUAUUUGCUUUUUGAUAAUUGUAAAUGUCAACAGAAACAAAGGGAGUUGGAAUCAGAUCGCAUAGAAAAGUUGCCGGAGGUGGCAGAUGCAGCAUGGAGAGGAACAUGCAGAGAUUUAGGUUUUUUGAUGUUGUAUUAUAUUUGAAAUUGUGGGAGAAUUGUACAAUACAUUCUAUAAAUACGUGGUUGUGGCUAGACCAAAUUGUUAUUUUUUUUAUAUAUACUCCCAAUUUUGCCACUGAUGUUGGUGGCAUUGAAAAAACACACUGAUUCUGUAACAGUGGGAAAGAAAAAGGUGUAUUGCUGCAUUGGGUUUUG